This 2898-nucleotide long non-coding RNA is filed under the name Homo sapiens (human). Its description in RNAcentral is "HSALNT0117047". Lineage: Eukaryota; Metazoa; Chordata; Mammalia; Primates; Hominidae. The record is from RNAcentral.
CUUUGCAAAAAAUUACUUCACGCUGCGUCUCCUUUGCUGUGUGUCUCUUGCUUAAAUCCUUUUAAACUAAGACCAGACCCAAGGUCUCACAACUUCCAUCACUAUCAUCACUUUCAAGCAAAAAUAAUACAGCAGCCUCCUCUGUUCCAGUGUGGGUGAAUCGUGUAAGAAGAUCUGAUGUGUGAAUGCUCUGUGGAUGGGGGGGGACCAAUGAUCUGGGCUCAUUCAAGAACAUACCACACCACGUGGGUGUCCACGGACUGCCCUGCUCAUUCCGCGUGGCAAAGUGUUUGGUGCCACUAGUCAUCAUGCUGUAGUCACUACCAACACCCCCUCUUCCGUGCUGGAGGUGUUGGCGUUAUUUGGGGAGUCCUGGUGACUCCCCUAAGGUCAUGUAGCACCGGAAGUGCAGCCAGAUGACUCUGACGCAGGAGCCCCUCACCACUGCGUCCCAAGGGGCUUCACAUCAGCCACUGGUUUCAAGACCGCAGUUCAGAUUCUCCCUUUGCCACAAUGGGUGGACAAAAACUAUGGAGAUUGAUUUGUGAUUGUCAGGCUUUUGGGCCCUGAGUCUUCCAAGUUUUCUUUUUGCCAAUUAUCAUGCUCUAGUAAAGCCACACAAUUUGUUCAAAAGCACAUUUUCUAGUCUGGGGAAUUUGGAGAUCUAUGUGAUAUGGAAUUGCUCUAAGUCAAGGAUAACCAGGGACUCAGUAGAGGACUAUAAAAAGGAGAAGAAAACCUUACACUGAAUAAAAAGAGUAACAGAAAAUACAAUCACCCUGCGACCAGAUGUCAAGCACUCUCGAAAGCAGAGCUCACGGUGCCCGGCGGCUCCAGUGUGCACGUCUCUGUCCUGGGGAGCCGCCAUUAUUCUCUGGAUGGCUCCUCAUGGCUGGCAAACAUGGUGUUUCCCACUCUCCUCUGGUUCUGUCAUGGGGUCUACCACACUGGGGUGUCUCCCCAAGUCACCACUCUUGGAGGGCCGGGCUUCGUGCAGUGGUUAGAUGCAAAGGUCCCGUGGGCUCAUCCUGCUUCCAUCUGCCCAGACUUAGCAGUCCUGUGCUCUCAGGCAGGGCCUUCACCUCUGAAGCCCCCUCUUCCUGUUUGUAAUAGAAAAUCCUUGUCACUAAGUCAUUACAUAAUCAGGUUCAUGUGAACAUUAAUGGGCUGUUGCAUGAGAAACGCUUACGAUGUUGCCUAAACAUUUGCUAGUGAAAGAGGGGGCAGUCCCCUCAGCACUAAAACAACACUGUGCCUCCCAGGACACCCAUUCCACAACUGACAAACACAACCCUGCACCAACUGGGGUAGGGAGUGGAAAGACACAAGUGGCUUAGGGAGCUGGGGCUCAGUUCUCCGGCAGGACUCGUGCUUCCCCUUAGAUCACACAGAUGUAAACCUGGGGAGACUUUCCAAAUUUCCUUGCCGGCAGAUUGUGGAUGGCAAUAAGAACCCAUGAAUGAGAUGCACUGCAUGGCAUGUGGAAGGCGGAUGAAAGUAGAAGCCCCCUCUGUCUUCCUGCAGCACAGGAAGCAGGUGACCUGAGCAGGUGGGGCUUUCAGCAGGUGACCUGUACAGGUGCGGCUUUCAGCAGGUGACCUGAGCAGGUGCGGCUUUCAGCAGGUGACCUGAGCAGGUGGGGCUUUCAGCAGGUGACCUGUACAGGUGCGGCUUUCAGCAGGUGACCUGAGCAGGUGCAGCUGUCAGCAGGUGACCUGAGCAGGUGCGGCUGUCAGCAGGUGACCUGAGCAGGUGCGGCUUUCAGCAGGUGACCUGAGCAGGUGCGGCUUUCAGCAGGUGACCUGAGCAGGUGUGGCUUUCAGCAGGUAGGCCUGAGCAGGUGUGGCUUUCAGCAGAGAUCCUACCCUCAGCACUAUGUGUGGAAUGUAGGAAUCCUUUCCAAAAAUGUUGAACUGAUUUCAUUAGACAAAUAGAAAUCGAAGCAAACUCAACAGGACAGGACAUUGAGAAGUACACAAAGUCAUUCAAGUGCAGGAGGGGCCUGUCCUGGAUGAAGACAGAGCUGCAUCCAUGUUUUCAUUGAGUCAGAAGAAAUGGAAGAAAGUUGCAGGUUGAUUUUGUUCUAGGCCAGUGCUGUAAGGAAAUCCAUGUUGGAUAGGCAGGAACAGGAGGGUGGGGGUGCAAGGCGAAGAUUCCAGGCAGUAGGUGAUCACUGGGGUCUUCGGUGUGCAAUGUGAUCUGAGGAUCGUGGAAUCGUGCUGGCUUUCAGAACAGAUGAGAAGCCGGGAGGAGCCUGUGCAGAAGAGGAAGAUCUAUCUGGAAAAAGCAGCUAAACAAGCACUGGCCAAGAGAUAAGCAAUGUUGAAGGAACUGCAGCUUACCAAUCAUGAAACGUGGACUGACCGCCUGCUCCACCAGCCAUAACUAUAGCUUUGAUUGACAAGGGGCUGAUUUCAAUACCUGUCUCCUGUUGAGGUCACCGACCAUGGACUGGUUCUGGCUGGUUUACAGCAGCUGUGCACCGAGUGCCUGUGUCCCUACUUCACACUGUGACAUAUAAGGCUUAAUUGUCAUGCAUUUGAAUGUUAAGUCUCCACCUCAGAGUAAAUAUGGGUCAUAUGUAAUAUGCAUGUUUGUUCAAUGGGUCAGGACACCUUCAUGAAUAUUCAUCGCUCCUCCUAUAAUCUGUUGAAUAUGUAUGUUGAGCCAACCCCUUCAGCAUAAGUUCCUGUCUCACCUUUUCUCCUUUGAAAUGCCUGCUAAAGGUCCCUGCCAGAGGCUAUACUUCCCAGCCUGUCAGAAGGAGCACCUCGUAGGCUGUAACCCUCUGUAAGAAAUAAAGUUGGCUUUCAAAAUUUAUAGACCUUAUCAUUUUUAAGUUGAAAGGCAUGUGGCACAAGCACGGUUGGGGGAACUCAUAUGAGACAAAAUUCUGAG